This is a long non-coding RNA of Hirundo rustica (Barn swallow), 2540 nucleotides long. RefSeq lists it as uncharacterized. The record is from RefSeq and is a predicted model, not a curated record. The transcript has 3 exons. Lineage: Eukaryota; Metazoa; Chordata; Aves; Passeriformes; Hirundinidae.
GGUGGUGUCGAAGGGUGCAAAUCUGGGGAGAGAGAUGAGCUCUGCUCCGUGCAGUCUGCUCCUGUGGGUCUCGCCCGAUGGAUGAGGAGUUCUGCUUUGGAGGCAGAGUGUAGAGGUAAACUAAGGCAGGCUGCCAGCGAGCGGUUCCUACAAGGCUCCCGAGCUCUGACAUUUGUUAACGCAGCAGUAAAUCACAGCGGCUCUUUGGGCAAGCUUUUUCCUGACAAAACGGCGGAGACGAGCAAAAGAGAAAAGAAGGCACAAAAAUGCAAAGGCUUUAUUUACACCGGAGAAGAGUAACUGUCCUGAAUGAGGCAGAUGGGGCACAAUGAGGGAAAACUCCAUCUCGAUCCCCUCCGCUCCCCCCAUCUCCCCUGUUCAUUGUUGGGCAAGAACUGAGAGGGGAAACAGUCUGAGGCUGAUACUGGCGGCUGAGGAAGGGGACGAGGAAAGCUCAGCUGGCCAGGUCAGUCAGGGAGAAACUUACUGAGAUGCCGAGGCCUUGGAAGCCUCAGAGUGAGUAGGAGCUUUGGUAAUGGUGGGAUUAUAACCCGAAAAUCUCUUGUCCUAAGCUCUUUUGGUUACUUUUGUCCCCCUGCACUGCAUUUUGGGGGGAGGACAUGUGACACACCCCCCUCACUUGGCAGCUGGCUGUGGUUUUGAGUGAGACGAUGGUCUGGGGAGGAAACAACUCAGUGUUAUCAAAUGGCGGGGGGAACUCACUCCAAAACAGCCCCUUCUGUGCCACCAUCUCCACCCCUUCCUCCUGUGCCUACCCCCAGCCCUGCUGCAGCAUGGGUAUUUAUUUAUCCCUGCCAGCUUUCUGUCUUCCCUCUUUCUCCUGGCUUAUUUAUGGCUGUCGCCUUUCAGCUCCCGGCCACUGCAGCCUGAACUUGGCCAUUAUGUGUGGCUCGUUGCAGAGGCCAUCAAUCUGCGGGGCCAGCACGCAGCCUGAUGGACUUCCCUCAUCAUCAUCAAUUUUCCCCAUCGUGCUGGUGCAUCCCUUUGGAUCUGGGGCAGCUGCACAUCUGCCCCUGGUGGCCUCUGCACUCCCACCCCUGGACACCCGCUUCGUCCUCACAGAAGCCUUUUGUCCUGGCAUGCUCACAGGCAUCAGGUGGGCCUGAAGCAUCCAAACAUUCAAACGUGGCUUGAGGUGGCUUCAAAGAGGUGACAGGAAUGCAUUGCACAGAAAAAGGGACGUUAUUUUGCUCUCCAUAAGCACUGUGGAGUCCUGCUUAGCCAGCUGGACUUUUAAGCUCUCUCUAAGUUUAAACUCAAAUUCUCUGUAUUAAGUAGGCAGCAAAGUUUUCCCUGUGCUAUAUCCUGGGUGCAGACAGAGGCGGGCUCUGCUGCCUUUGCAGAUGAGCCUCUCAAAGAGGCUGCUGAGCUGCAGCUGUUGCCUUUCUUGGCCCUGGGAAUGCUCCCAAGGUGUUUUGUCCAUCUUGCUGUGUGUGGGUGCUCUUGAAGCAUUGCACCUUGAUCUGUGAGGAGCCGGGCUGAGAGGGUGGCACUGCUUCAACUGCAAAUGGCAAAGCUCCCCCUCGUUUCAGCGGUGUCGGGAGAAUUAUUUGGGUACCACCAGCAGCAGGGAUCUGUUUUGAAGGGGAGGUAGAGUCGCUGCUGGGCUCUGCCUGCUCAGUGCUGGCAAUGCGAUAGCCCUGGGUUGUGCCAGUUUUUGAGAGGUGCAAAUCUCCCAGGGGAACGACAGGGAGAUGACACCCUGCUCAGCCCAGGUGUCUAAUGUCUCCUCGGAUUGUCCCAACCUUCUCUUCCUGUUAGGGGCAUGAAAGCAGCUGAAAAUGAGAAGGUAAUUCUUAGUGACUUGCAUGGUUUCAUCCCGAUUUAUCCAGAAUAAGUCAGAGCUGUAGUUCAGACUACAGUUCAGUACUGAAGUUCAGUAAAAAAAAAAAAAAAAAAAAAACGACACAAAAAAUCAGGAGAGCUGGAGAGCUGCUCCUGUGGUCUACUGGGUGCAUGUCUGGGGCUGAGGAAUGCUUUUUGUGGCUCUGUUGAUGCAAACAGGGCAGCUUGGCUCUGUGUGGGUGCCACUGCCCCAUCUCUACUGGGGAGUGGAGGCUGUGGUUUUUGUGGAAGCCAGGGAGGUGCCUGGUAUCUUUUGCCAGAGGGAUCAAAAUUUUUUUGGGCUGAAGCAAUGCAGGGCUGACCGCUGGUCAGCCAGGAGCAUUGCAGGAGCUUAAUUUCAUUAGAAGCACAGGUCAGAGUCCCUGGCGUGCCCCGUGGAUGCCGAGAGCAGCUUCUGGGAUGUUGACUCCUGCCAGUCUGAGUGUGUUACCGUGGCUCUGCUGCUGCCUUGUGGUGGGUGAUGCUGGCCUGUCACCGCCCGACCCGUGUGGGGAGGAGCAAAAGCCCAGGCUAGGUCUCGCUCAGCUGCUUCACGUUGCUGCCUCAUUUGAAAAUAACCCUGUGGCUGCAGUGGGUGAGCGGCCGGUGACAUCUCUCCUUCCCGUGGGUAUUUUUAGGAGUGGCACUUAGACUUGGCACACGUACAAGCAGCUGGAAAAUGCGCGGCAUUUCCU